Arabis alpina (gray rockcress) is the source of this 108-nucleotide non-coding RNA. NCBI's taxonomy places the organism in Eukaryota, Viridiplantae, Streptophyta, Magnoliopsida, Brassicales, Brassicaceae. The record is from Rfam.
ACUCCAUGGUGAGGACAAGAUCUAGUGUUAACCCUUCAAUCUUUCCCAAGCCUCAUAGAGAGCUUCGUUGGGGCCUUGUUUGAAGCUCGUGAUAUCAUUCCUUAUCCU